RNAcentral lists this long non-coding RNA (1373 nucleotides) under Heterocephalus glaber (naked mole-rat). RNAcentral describes it as "lncRNA (ENSHGLG00100043031.1)". The record is from RNAcentral. Lineage: Eukaryota; Metazoa; Chordata; Mammalia; Rodentia; Bathyergidae.
CUAAGUGCAAUUGUUCAGUGGAGGAAUGCAUAUAAUUGGAACUUUCAAGAUGAGUGGUCAUGCAGUUGACUUUCUAAGAGAGCUGUGAGGAAAAGCAAGGGUCAUGUCUGAAGAUUAGAAGGGGGCAUCCUUUUCUGUGUCAUCACAUUAUUAAAAUUUUUAUUUUUACUAGUACAUGUCUGCAGCACUUAAUGAUUACAUUCUUCAUGCAGAGUUGGUUCAUGUAGACAGCACAUCAUAAUUCUUUUUUCCUCACCUUCUCUCCCUCCCUCCUCCUUCCUUUCUUCAUAGUUUUGAAGUCUAAGAUUAAGGUGCUACCAGAUUUGCACUCUUUUUCUGGCUAGUGUUCUAAUGAAGAGCACUUUCUAACUGUAUCUCAGCAUGGUGGAAAAUAUUCUGCCUCACAACUUAGUCACCUAUCAUAUGCCUCACCUUCUACUACUAUUACAUUGGAGGUGAGGUUUCAACAUGAUAUUUUUUGGAUGACACACACAUUCAGAUGAUCGCAUGGGUGUAUGAUGUGCAAUCCCCCAUUUCUAUAUUACUUUUGGAUGCACACAUGUUGAAAUAUACUUGAACAUGUCUGUGCAAAAAGAGGGUAGAUGUCUGGGAAAAAAGGAGGCAGAUCAUUUUUCUAUUAGUUUGUAAGUUGCUGCGUUGUGAGAUCAGUGACUAGACCUAAUGGAUAGUUAUGUGUAUUCUAAGUGUUAGGUUCCAACAGUAAUAGGAUCAGGCCAUUGUUUUUCUCCUUGGGGAAGAGAGUGAGUUUAUUUUGUUGGAAGAGUGCACACUAAUAUUUGGUGGCCAUAGAAAAGUCUGCUAUUCUGGGAGUGGUUCUCUCAUAUCUACUUCCCUGUUCUCUUGGGGAGCACGUGGCUGCACAGCUAUGAACUGGUUUUCUUAUCCUUACCAGUAUAGUAAUAUAUAUUUUGGUAUAUGAAUUCAUACAAAUGUAAUGUGAGAAGGAAUGAAGAGCGCCUUUUUACCACUAGACUUCUGACCUUGUUCUUUCUGUCUUGUGCUUUUGUGAAGAGUGAAAUGUCGGUGUGAUGAAGGGACCGCAUCAACCAUGUUGAUAAAGACAAGGGGUAAACUGGCACUAGGGUCCUUCACUGAGAAGUCUGCCUUCUUGACUGUCACCAUGCCAUGGGAGAGGUAGAGGAAGGAUCUGGGCACUGUAGGACCUCUGGCUUCCUCAAAGUCAAGAUGACCAUGAAAGGGAAGCAUUUUGAAUGCUUCAGCUCAGCACAUUGAGGUACCAACAACAGUCAAACUAAAAGCACAGUCAACCCAAAAGACACUCAAGAAAAGAUUUACAGAAUUGUUUCAGAAAGUAGCAAAAACAAUGGGAUAAGGUUGUUCAAAGUUAAGGG